Molecule: ribosomal RNA, 779 nt
Filed under: uncultured Neocallimastigales
Lineage: Eukaryota; Fungi; Neocallimastigomycota; Neocallimastigomycetes; Neocallimastigales
Description: partial large subunit ribosomal RNA
Rfam family: Eukaryotic large subunit ribosomal RNA
Source: RNAcentral
UAUCUCUGUAGAGUCUGCAUAUCAAUAAGCGGAGGAAAAGAAACUAACUAGGAUUCCCUUAGUAACGGCGAGUGAAGCGGGAAGAGCUCAAAUUUGAAAUCUUCAAGGUUCUACCUUGACGAAUUGUAGUUUAAAGAAGUGUUUUCUGUUAGGUAUUGAGUAGCAAAAGUUCCUUGGAAUAGGACAUCAUAGAGGGUGAGAAUCCCGUAUUUGGUACAUUAUUUCUAGCUUUGUGAUACACUUUCAAAGAGUCGGAUUGUUUGGGAAUGCAGUCCAAAAUGGGUGGUAAAUUUCAUCUAAAGCUAAAUAUUGGCGAGAGACCGGUAGCGAACAAGUACCGUGAGGGAAAGAUGAAAAGAACUUUGAAAAGAGAGUUAAACAGUACGUGAAAUUGUCAAAAGGGAAGCGUUUGACACCAGUGUUGUUUUUCCGAAAAUCAAUUACGAAUGGCUUGAUUCUGUGUUGUAUUGACCUUAUCAGCUUUCUUCACUUUUUUCGAGUCUUUCUUAAUGCACUUUUCGGUUAACAAGUCAACAUCAAUUUCUUUUGUUGUAAAAGAGUAUUCGGAAGGUGGCUUUCUUUUCGGAGAAAGUGUUUAUAGCCCUAUACUUCUACAAUCGGAGAGAUUGAGGUCUGCAGCGUAGAUCCUUCGGGGUUAGAUACACUUUGUGCUAAGUUGUAGCUUUUCAUAGACAACUUGUUGACUAUGUUUAGUCAUGCGGCUUACUCGCUUGUGCUAUUUUACCUACGCUUAGGAUGUUGAAGAUGUAGCACAUCAU